UGCCAGCAGCCGCGGUAAUACGGAGGAUCCAAGCGUUAUCCGGAAUCAUUGGGUUUAAAGGGUCCGUAGGUGGAUAAUUAAGUCAGAGGUGAAAUCCUGCAGCUCAACUGUAGAAUUGCCUUUGAUACUGGUUAUCUUGAGUCAUUAUGAAGUAAUUAGAAUGUGUAGUGUAGCGGUGAAAUGCAUAGAUAUUACACAGAAUACCAAUUGCGAAGGCAGGUUACUAAUAAUGUACUGACACUGAGGGACGAAAGCGUGGGGAGCGAACAGGAUUAGAUA
Molecule: ribosomal RNA, 279 nt
Filed under: uncultured bacterium
Lineage: Bacteria
Description: partial 16S ribosomal RNA
Rfam family: Bacterial small subunit ribosomal RNA
Source: RNAcentral